Molecule: unclassified non-coding RNA, 498 nt
Filed under: Hevea brasiliensis (rubber tree)
Lineage: Eukaryota; Viridiplantae; Streptophyta; Magnoliopsida; Malpighiales; Euphorbiaceae
Source: RNAcentral
GGUUUUAGAGGAGAAGGGUGACUCGUUGAUUAGGAGGUAUUUCGAUGGGUCCGCUUUUAUAGAGCUCAUGAAGCAAUUGAUUUCUUGGCGUCAAUUAGCCUUAGAGGUUUUAAGUUGGAGAAGAAAACAAGCUGAGAGGAGCACUCCUAUGACACCAGAGGAGUAUGCCAAGGGUAUCUCAGUUGCUGGUAGGGCAAAGAAUGUUGAUCUUGCAGUUGAGCUGUUUGCUGAGGCUAGUAGCAAGCGUGCUAAGAGAACUUGUACCUAUAAUGCACUGAUGGGUGCUUACAUGUACAACGGUCAUGCUGAUAAAUGUCUGUCGUUGUUUCGUGAAUUGAAAAAGGAAUUAAAUUUUGGUCCUUCAGUUGUAACAUAUAACAUCCUUAUAUCAGUCUUUGGUCGCUUGUUACUGGUUGAUCAGAUGGAGGCAACAUUUGAGGAGUUGAAGCAUUUAAAUAUCUUGCCAAACUUGAUCACGUACAAUAAUUUAAUUGCCGG